Long non-coding RNA from Orcinus orca (killer whale), 2654 nucleotides. RefSeq lists it as uncharacterized. The transcript is spliced from 3 exons. NCBI's taxonomy places the organism in Eukaryota, Metazoa, Chordata, Mammalia, Artiodactyla, Delphinidae. The record is from RefSeq and is a predicted model, not a curated record.
AUCUGAAAGUCAUUAUCAGUGAACACAAGAAUGUAAAUACAGUGCACUCGGUCAGUCCUUCACAAAAAAUCACACUUGCCUGGCAAUGCACAGCUUUGGAAGGGGAGGCGCUGCUGUACUGGAGUGUGGUGUUUUUCUUUCUUUCUUUCUUUCUCUGUCUCUCUCUCUCUCUUUUUUUUUUUUGUUUUUGUUUUCACUGCAUUCCUUUACUGGAAAGGGUGGAAAUGCUGCCAGGCCCAGCUGCCGGCUCCUGGGAAGGCUCCGGAGGCUUUUCACCUUCAAAGCCCUUGUGGGAUGGCUUGGCUGUGGCACUGAGCCGGCCAGGCCUUUCCCCAGGUGAGGAAAAAGGAACUGGGGUGGUUACAGUACGAGCUUGGAAAAGGCCGUGGGACUCCCUACUUGCUCCACAAAGUCCUCCCACUAAGCAGCAGCAUCCUUUCUGAUUCCUUCUCCCGGGGUGCCCUCCGCAGGGGGCCCGCAGUUCCCCUUUAAUAGGCAGGACCAGCAGCUGGGCCUGGCGGACGUUACACAAUCUGCCUUGGGUUUGACACAUUCAGCAUUAAAACCCGAAAGGAGGAAAAAUACACUCAUGGGUCCCAUCAGCAAAAAACAGGACAGCCAGCUCAUGCAAAGGUUAAGUGCAAGUUCGCCCGUCCAUCUUUGUGGUUUGCUGCCCAUCCUUCCCAAAUCCUACAACCUCCUGGCCUUGACUAUCGGUGCUCAGCACUCUGGAGUGGUGCACGUCGCUGACUGCAGCCGUACUGCCUGGGCGCCCUUUGACAGACGGGUCCGUUUUCCACACAAAUCGAGGGAGGCAGUGGUGGUGCUGAACACCUGUUGUAAUUUCCAUCUGGAAUAGGUUCUUGUCUCUACAGUUCUGCCUUGUUGUGUUUGCUGAAACUGUGUUUCUUUCCCGAGGGCCCAGAAUGGCUGGUCACAGGGGCCUGGGGAGAGGCUGAGGCUGGGAGCCCUGGCCCUGUCCUGUCUGUGCUGUGAACAUGCCUGACCUUGACUUGUGUUGCCCGCUUUCUCUCAUCCUUCCUUCCCUCUAGGUCUGUGCUGUCCAAUAGGGGAGCCAGCAGCCACCUGUGGCCAGUGAGCGCUUGAAAUCCAGCUCGUAAACGGAGGGGCUCCAUUUUCCAUUUAUUUCAGAUGUAACGAAAUCUAAAUACAGAUCCAUGUACUUCUGACAAAAAUUUAGUGCCUGAAUAGAGAUGUGCUAUAAGGAUAAAAUACAUACUGGAUUUCAAACACUUAGCAUGAAAAAAAGAAGGGCACGAGUGCUGUCCCUGAUACUGCGGUCCUGGAGCCCUGGCACGAAGCACACACAGCAGGCUGACCCCUGAACCAGGAGUCCUGGGGAUGGAGGUCACCAGAGGAAACGGAGACCUGGCGCUUGUCCUCAAGAGGCCUAUAAUCUAGUGGAGGAUCUGCUCUUAAAUUCAGGAAAUGUUUUAAACUCUCUCCAAAGGUGUGUAAAGCUCGGUGGCAGAGAUGGUGUGACUUUUCAGCGGGAACAUUUAUGCGGCCCUGAUAUGUUUACCUGGAUUCUAUUUCCCAAUCCUGAAACCCAGCUGCCCAUCAGACAGGCCUCAGAUGCACGUGGCAAUUCUUUGGAAACCAAGUUUCGGAGGGGAAUGUGAAUCCACCUCCGGGCUUCUCUAUGCGUUUUGUAGGCUCUCUUGGCAACGGUACCCGCUUCAGAACAAGUUCUUGAGAUUUAGGGGCAAACUGGCCAAAGGAGGGACACAUAUAUUUCUUAUUUGCUGGGUCAAGUAUCACAGUUUCCUAGGUCCUUGGAAUCCUGGUAGUUGCACUUCAGAAUCCCAAACUCAAAUACUAUCUACUGGUAUAUAAACUCAAAUACUAUGGCCUGGUUGUUCAUCUAUCUGAAGACUGAAGCCCCAAAAUCUUAAGAGAAUUCCCCCUUCCCAUCGAGGAGGAAAACAUUUUUUGUGAAAGUUAAACCCACACGGGUUCCCCAGGGCAACAGAACCAAGAAGUGACACUGGGGGAGUGGUGUGUCCUGAGCCCCUGCCAUCCACCGUCCACCACGGGGCUGGGCUGAGGGGCAUUGGCAAGGGGCAGGAGGGGAAGCGAGCGCCCAGCUGGCCAGAGUGAGGAUACACGGCGGCGUAAGGGACAUGGCCCAGAACACCAGGGCCGGAACCGAGCAAGAGAGGAACUGAGACAGAUGUUACUCUGGAAGCCUGCGCUGUCAAAUUCCUCAAAGCACAGAAAUGCCAUCAAUACCGUGUGUUCCUCUAGAAUAAAACUCAUGCACACGAGGUGCCUGCAUUGGCUUUCCCUGUCCAUCAGGCACGGCCUUUCCCCAGCAAGAUGCCACAGAAGGGCAGGACCCAUGACAGAGGUUCACCUUAAGACUUGGACAUUUUGGGGAGCUCAAACUCAUCGACGGGAGAUGCUGGGGAGAAUUCGUGGGCUACUCAGGCAAACUCGGCACCUGCCUCUGAGAGCGGGUUGGACGUUUGACUUAGAAAAAGACUCUCAGAAGGUGUGACUCAGGGCCUCAUGGAGUUCUACCAUGGAGAUGAGGGUUGCUUUUUGAUGCAACGAUGUAUCGUCUGCCAUUGGCUCUGCUCCAUGCUUUCACAUCAAGAGAAACCGGGCAGGGGCACCCACUUACUUAGUCC